This 374-nucleotide ribosomal RNA is filed under the name uncultured organism. RNAcentral's name for it is "partial 16S ribosomal RNA". It matches the Rfam family "Bacterial small subunit ribosomal RNA", at positions 527 to 896 of the family's 1533-position model. The record is from RNAcentral.
GUAGGUGGCAAGCGUUGUCCGGAAUUAUUGGGCGUAAAGCGCGCGCAGGCGGUCCUUUAAGUCUGAUGUGAAAGCCCACGGCUCAACCGUGGAGGGUCAUUGGAAACUGGGGGACUUGAGUACAGAAGAGGAAAGCGGAAUUCCAAGUGUAGCGGUGAAAUGCGUAGAGAUUUGGAGGAACACCAGUGGCGAAGGCGGCUUUCUGGUCUGUAACUGACGCUGAGGCGCGAAAGCGUGGGGAGCAAACAGGGAUUAGGUACCCUGGUAGUCCACGCCGUAAACGAUGAGUGCUAAGUGUUAGGGGGUUUCCCGCCCCCUUAGUGCUGCAGCUAACGCAUUAAGCACUCCGCCUGGGGAGUACGGCCGCAAGGCUG